GUCUCCUGAAGGAACGUUGAAGACGAUGACGUUGAUAGGCCGGGUGUGUAAGCGCAGCGAUGCGUUGAGCUAACCGGUACUAAUGAACCGUGAGGCUUAACCUU
RNAcentral lists this ribosomal RNA (104 nucleotides) under Klebsiella pneumoniae. Its description in RNAcentral is "partial 23S ribosomal RNA". It matches the Rfam family "Bacterial large subunit ribosomal RNA", at positions 2822 to 2925 of the family's 2925-position model. Lineage: Bacteria; Pseudomonadati; Pseudomonadota; Gammaproteobacteria; Enterobacterales; Enterobacteriaceae. The record is from RNAcentral.